UACGAAGGGUGCAAGCGUUACUCGGAAUUACUGGGCGUAAAGCGUGCGUAGGUGGUUCGUUAAGUCUGAUGUGAAAGCCCUGGGCUCAACCUGGGAACUGCAUUGGAUACUGGCGGUCUAGAGUGCGGUAGAGGGUGGCGGAAUUCCCGGUGUAGCAGUGAAAUGCGUAGAUAUCGGGAGGAACAUCCGUGGCGAAGGCGGCCACCUGGACCAGCACUGACACUGAGGCACGAAAGCGUGGGGAGCAAACAGG
RNAcentral lists this ribosomal RNA (253 nucleotides) under uncultured bacterium. Its description in RNAcentral is "partial 16S ribosomal RNA". It matches the Rfam family "Bacterial small subunit ribosomal RNA", at positions 524 to 776 of the family's 1533-position model. The record is from RNAcentral.